Cucurbita maxima (winter squash) is the source of this 591-nucleotide long non-coding RNA. RefSeq lists it as uncharacterized. Lineage: Eukaryota; Viridiplantae; Streptophyta; Magnoliopsida; Cucurbitales; Cucurbitaceae. The transcript is spliced from 2 exons. The record is from RefSeq and is a predicted model, not a curated record.
AGUUUGUUUAUGAUUUUGACCAUUUCUAGAUGAGAGAUUUUUGCCCAAAAAACUGUCCAUUGAAAUUUGGCUUAAAUUUUUUUUUGAAGAACUAUAGUUACUGUUGCCGACGAUCCAAGUAUAACUCGACUGUAUAGUACAUGUAAUUUUGACCAAGAUAUUUGAAGUUCGUAUCUCGACAUCGAACAUGCAGUGUAAUUAUACUUUUAUGAACGAUGAUAUUGUUGUUUCGAACUUUAGAGUAUAUGUUAGUUUGAGAAUCCAGUAGAGAACAUUUGAUAAAUGAAGGUGUAUGAUGAUGUAUUUCUGUGAGUCUAUUGUUUAAGCAUGGUGGUCAGUACUCGUCCAAGGAGUAGGAGCACGUGGUGGAUAUACGCCCCACCAUUGGCAAACUAGUAGAGGUCACGUUAGUAGCACGUGAUAUGAGAUCACAAACAGAGUGGGCUUUGGUGAGGGAAACAUUUACAGUGAAAGCAGUGGAGGGAGGCCUCUCCCAUCUGUCAAUCCACUUACCUCACCCAAUUGGGACAACAACGCAUUCCACGGACCCUAUUGGUAAAGGAAAUUCAUGAAUCCCACAGCUCUGUUUUG